CUGCAAAUGAGUAAUUGACCUUCCCAGCAGAAGGACAACAGAAUUCUUACAGUGGGUUGGCCUACAGCUCCCCAGCUGUAGGAGCGAGCACUGUGCUUUGGUUAAUGUGACAGGCGUCCCAUAAAUCAUCUGUGCUUAUCAGAGCCCCUGUUGACCAUCUGCUGUUGAACUUCAGGUCAGUGAGCAAUGCUGUGACUUCUCAGGCCAGCACGCUCUUCCAUAGCAUGUGGGAUUGUUUUUCGUGAGCCUGUCAGGAUUUUUGAAGCCUCAACUUUAAAUCAGGGCCCGAGAAAGAAGAGGACAUGUUGGGCUACUAGAGCCCGCUCACUCCAGAGCCCGUGCUCUGCAGCAAGAGGAGCCACUGCCACAAGAAGCCUUACACUGCAACUAGCGAGGAGCUCCUGCUUGCCGCAACUAGAGAGAGCCCUAGAGCAGCAAUGAAGACCAGCAC
This is a long non-coding RNA of Bos taurus (domestic cattle), 451 nucleotides long. The record is from Ensembl. NCBI's taxonomy places the organism in Eukaryota, Metazoa, Chordata, Mammalia, Artiodactyla, Bovidae.